RNAcentral lists this ribosomal RNA (440 nucleotides) under uncultured bacterium. RNAcentral describes it as "partial 16S ribosomal RNA". It matches the Rfam family "Bacterial small subunit ribosomal RNA", at positions 338 to 795 of the family's 1533-position model. The record is from RNAcentral.
CCUACGGGAGGCAGCAGUGGGGAAUAUUGCACAAUGGGGGCAACCCUGAUGCAGCGACGCCGCGUGAGUGAGGAAGUAUUUCGGUAUGUAAAGCUCUAUCAGCAGGGAAGAAAAUGACGGUACCUGACUAAGAAGCCCGGGCUAACUACGGGCCAGCAUCCGCGGGUAUCCGUAGGGGGCAAGCGUUAUCCGGAUUUAUUGGGGUUAAAGGGAGCGUAGACGGUUAAUCAAGUCAGAAGUGAAAACCCAGGGCUCAACCUUGGGACUGCUUUUGAAACUGGGUAGCUAGAGUGCAGGAGAGGUAAGCGGAAUGCCUGGUGUAGCGGUGAAAUGCAUAGAUAUUAGGAGGAACACCAGUGGCGAAGGCGGCUUGCUGGACUGUAACUGACGUUGAGGCUCGAAAGCGUGGGGAUCAAACAGGAUUAGAUACCCCAGUAGUC